This 433-nucleotide ribosomal RNA is filed under the name uncultured bacterium. Its description in RNAcentral is "partial 16S ribosomal RNA". It matches the Rfam family "Bacterial small subunit ribosomal RNA", at positions 29 to 507 of the family's 1533-position model. The record is from RNAcentral.
AACGAACGCUGGCGGCAUGCCUAACACAUGCAAGUCGAACGAGACCUUCGGGUCUAGUGGCGCACGGGUGCGUAACGCGUGGGAACCUGCCCUUAGGUUCGGAAUAACUCCCCGAAAGGGGUGCUAAUACCGGAUAUUUUCUUCGGACCAAAGAUUUAUCGCCUUUGGAUGGGCCCGCGUUGGAUUAGCUAGUUGGUAGGGUAAAAGCCUACCAAGGCGACGAUCCAUAGCUGGUCUGAGAGGAUGAUCAGCCACACUGGGACUGAGACACGGCCCAGACUCCUACGGGAGGCAGCAGUGGGGAAUAUUGGACAAUGGGCGAAAGCCUGAUCCAGCAAUGCCGCGUGAGUGAUGAAGGCCUUAGGGUUGUAAAGCUCUUUUACCCGGGAUGAUAAUGACAGUACCGGGAGAAUAAGCUCCGGCUAACUCCGUG